CCUUUCUGCCUCCGCUGCCGCCAUGGCGCCUGUGAAAAAGCUUGUGGCGAAGGGGGGCAAAAAAAAGAAGCAGGUUCUGAAGUUCACUCUUGAUUGCACCCACCCUGUAGAAGAUGGAAUCAUGGAUGCAGCCAAUUUUGAGCAGUUUUUGCAAGAGAGGAUCAAAGUGAACGGAAAAGCUGGGAAUCUCGGUGGAGGAGUUGUGACUAUUGAAAGGAGCAAGAGCAAGAUCACUGUGACUUCCGAGGUGCCUUUUUCCAAAAGGUAUUUGAAAUAUCUCACCAAAAAAUAUUUGAAGAAUAAUCUACGUGAUUGGUUGCGCGUAGUUGCUAACAGCAAAGAGAGUUACGAGUUACGUUACUUUCAAAUUAACAAGGAUGAAGAAGAGGAGGAAGAUGAGGAUGAAAAUUCAUUUAUCUUCAAUAUUUUGUAUGAGUUCUUGAAUAAAACUUGGGAACCAAAAUGGUGGUUUAUCCUUGUAUCUCUGCAGUGUGGAUUGCACAGCGAAUUGGAAGUCAUGGUAAAGGGCCUCACUUGGGCUGCUGCUCAGUAUUGUAACUAGACUUUUUUUCCUGAUUGAAAAUGUCUGUCCUUGUGGUAGUAAUACCAAAAUAGGAGGAGAAGCUGAUCUUAUGGGAAGAACAACCGUGGUGCACUUAGAUAAGGUAUGGAGGUGUGAGCUUCAGUUAGUCACUGUUUUAUUUUAAAAAGCGUGGCUGUCAAUUGUACCUGGUGCUUUUCUCAGAGAAUGAUUCAGGAAUGCAGUGGGCUCAUUCAUUAAAAGAAAAGGGUGAUUUCUUUCUAACGUUCUCUGUGGGAAAAUGGCAGUGUCAAUAAAAUGCAGGUUUC
RNA transcript from Carlito syrichta (Philippine tarsier), 849 nucleotides. It is a transcript of the gene named 60S ribosomal protein L22 pseudogene, with no coding region annotated. The record is from RefSeq and is a predicted model, not a curated record. The transcript has a single exon. Lineage: Eukaryota; Metazoa; Chordata; Mammalia; Primates; Tarsiidae.